This 810-nucleotide ribosomal RNA is filed under the name uncultured Bacteroidota bacterium. Its description in RNAcentral is "bacterial SSU rRNA". It matches the Rfam family "Bacterial small subunit ribosomal RNA", at positions 66 to 890 of the family's 1533-position model. Lineage: Bacteria; Pseudomonadati; Bacteroidota. The record is from RNAcentral.
GGGGGCAGCAAUGUCACCGGCGAACGGGUGCGUAACGCGUAUGCAACCUACCUACAUCAGGGGGAUAGCCCUAGGAAACUGGGAUUAACACCGCAUAACAAUAGAGUUGGCAUCAACUUUAUUUGAAAUAUUUAUAGGAUGUAGAUGGGCAUGCGUAGGAUUAGCUAGUUGGUAAGGUAACGGCUUACCAAGGCUACGAUCCUUAGGGGCUCUGAGAGGAGUAUCCCCCACACUGGCACUGAGAUACGGGCCAGACUCCUACGGGAGGCAGCAGUAGGGAAUAUUGGGCAAUGGAGGCAACUCUGACCCAGCCAUGCCGCGUGCAGGAAGUCGGUCCUCUGGAUUGUAAACUGCUUUUGAAUGGGAAGAAUGUGCUCCUUGCGAGGGGUAAUGACGGUACCAUUAGAAUAAGCCACGGCUAACUACGUGCCAGCAGCCGCGGUAAUACGUAGGUGGCGAGCGUUAUCCGGAUUUAUUGGGUUUAAAGGGUGCGUAGGCGGCUUAAUAAGUCGGUGGUUAAAAGUAGCAGCUUAACUGUUUUACAUGCCAUCGAUACUGUUGAGCUUGAGAUAUUUGGAGGCAGCUAGAAUUUCCGGUGUAGCGGUGAAAUGCAUAGAUACCGGAAGGAAUACCAAUUGCGAAGGCAGGUUGCUACGAAUAAACUGACGCUGAUGCACGAAAGCGUGGGGAUCAAACAGGAUUAGAUACCCUGGUAGUCCACGCCGUAAACGAUGAUUACUAGUUGUUGGGGUUUAAGCUUCAGUGACCAAGGGAAACCGAUAAGUAAUCCACCUGGGGAGUACGCCGGCA